Molecule: ribosomal RNA, 911 nt
Filed under: uncultured bacterium
Lineage: Bacteria
Description: bacterial SSU rRNA
Rfam family: Bacterial small subunit ribosomal RNA
Source: RNAcentral
UAAGACAGAUGUGAAAUCCCCGGGCUCAACCUGGAACUGCAUUUGUGACUGCAAGGCUAGAGUGCGGCAGAGGGGGAUGGAAUUCCGCGUGUAGCAGUGAAAUGCGUAGAUAUGCGGAGGAACACCGAUGGCGAAGGCAAUCCCCUGGGCCUGCACUGACGCUCAUGCACGAAAGCGUGGGGAGCAAACAGGAUUAGAUACCCUGGUAGUCCACGCCCUAAACGAUGUCAACUGGUUGUUGGGUCUUCACUGACUCAGUAACGAAGCUAACGCGUGAAGUUGACCGCCUGGGGAGUACGGCCGCAAGGUUGAAACUCAAAGGAAUUGGCGGGGACCCGCACAAGCGGUGGAUGAUGUGGUUUAAUUCGAUGCAACGCGAAAAACCUUACCCACCUUUGACAUGUACGGAAGUUACCAGAGAUGGUUUCGUGCUCGAAAGAGAACCGUAACACAGGUGCUGCAUGGCUGUCGUCAGCCCGUGUCGUGAGAUGUUGGGUUAAGUCCCGCAACGAGCGCAACCCUUGUCAUUAGUUGCUACGAAAGGGCACUCUAAUGAGACUGCCGGUGACAAACCGGAGGAAGGUGGGGAUGACGUCAAGUCCUCAUGGCCCUUAUAGGUGGGGCUACACACGUCAUACAAUGGCUGGUACAGAGGGUUGCCAACCCGCGAGGGGGAGCUAAUCCCAUAAAACCAGUCGUAGUCCGGAUCGCAGUCUGCAACUCGACUGCGUGAAGUCGGAAUCGCUAGUAAUCGCGGAUCAGCAUGUCGCGGUGAAUACGUUCCCGGGUCUUGUACACACCGCCCGUCACACCAUGGGAGCGGGUUCUGCCAGAAGUAGUUAGCCUAACCGCAAGGAGGGCGAUUACCACGGCAGGGUUCGUGACUGGGGUGAAGUCGUAACAAGGUAACC